Molecule: long non-coding RNA, 1768 nt
Organism: Larimichthys crocea (large yellow croaker)
Lineage: Eukaryota; Metazoa; Chordata; Actinopteri; Sciaenidae
Exons: 3
Source: RefSeq, a predicted model, not a curated record
CUACUGCUGCUGCUGCUGCUGCUGCUGCUGCUGCUGCUGCUGCUCAGACUGGGCAGGACGUGAAGCGCUGAAACAAGACUGGCAACCAGAUCGACCUGAAUGCACGACAGGAAGAGUUCUCUACACUGGCAUUGGCAAAAAAGCCUCCAACUCAUUCACAAUCUAGGAUCCACAUUCUUAAUUGGUGAAUAAAUGGGAAUUCAUCAGUCCACUCCAUCACUUCUUGUAAAUUUUGAAAUCUGGUCACCUUACUCACCAACAUCAUACUGGACUUUCCUGCGGAUUUCAACACCAUCACACCAUCCAUCUUUCAUACCUUGAAUCCUCCGUACUGCCCUCUCCUGGCUAAGGUCCUAUCUCACAAACAGACAACACUUCAACAUCAACAACUGCAGAAACUCCACUGGUGCCAAUUCAAAGUCCUUCUCCUAAUUCACAAAGCCCUCCAUAGCCAGUCCCCCUGCUACCUCAGUGACCUGCUCCACCACCACACUCCAUCUUUCAACAUCCACCGCUCUGAUGCCAAUGUUUAUUAGUGGAGUAGUGUGACAAAAGUAAAAACUGACAUAGAAGAUGAACAUAAAGCAAUUCUGAUAAUGUAUAUGUUUCAAUGUACAUCUGCUCACCUGACCUACUGUUUUAAGACAGACUUGAAAAACUGAACCUGAACCUGUCCUUUAAUCCCUCUUAAUUAUUACUUCAGUAGAGUUACGAUAACUUGUGCAACUUGUGAAACACAAGUCUUAUGCUUGCUCCAGAAAACCACACAUCACCACCACAGAGCCAAUUUAAUAUUUUCAGUGUAACAACGUCCUACCAGUCAGACUGUGCACUCUUGCAAUGAUGUCCUCCAAAGUGGAAAUGUUCCUGUAUGGCUUACUUACCAAAAAACUUCCACCUGGGCAGUGCUGCGUAGAGUGCUGCACUUAGGUCAAUAUUUUCUGAUAAGGCACUGAGGACAGAUUCAGUUCAAUUUUAUUUAGAUAGCACCAAAUCAUAACAGAAGUUAUCUCAUGACACAACAUAUAGAGCGGGUCUAACUCAUACUCUUAUAACAGGCAUGUCCAAAGUAUGGCUUGGGGGCCAAUCACGGCCCAUAGUCAGAUUUCAUGCGGCCCGCAGCUUAAUUUUUAUAAUAUAUUAUUAAUGGCCUGCUAGGAUUUUCACUGUAUGGCUAGAAGAUUUGACUUUUUUGGCUGACAUAACGGAGCAUCUGAAUACACUAAACGUUAACCUCUAAGGACAUACUGUAACUGCUGCUGUUAUAUAUCUGUAGAUGAUGAAUGACUUUGUGAGCAAGAGUGAAACGUUUUAAACUUAAAUGUUAACAGACAUUACUCAUAAUAAGUCAUGUUCAAUGAACAUCAGGUUAAGAUUUGUAUCAACUUCAUGCAAACCUCCUGCAUUUGUAUGGAACUUUUAUUGGUAUUUUUUCAUUUUUUAAAUGUUAGUACUGGUCCUUGUGCAUCUUCAUAUUGUCAAAUCUAGCCCUCUUUAAAAGAAGUUUGGACAUCGCUGUCUUAUAAUAAAAAAUAUAAUAAUAUUAUUUACAGAGAUCCAACAGAUGACAACAAACCUGGAUUUCCACUAUUUCAGCAAGUGAAGAAACUAAUACCAAACCUGAAAACAGAACGUCAUUCUGUCAUCAGUGUCCACCUUUCUGCUUGAUCAUGGUGACGUCCCCUUGGAGUAAGACUGAAUUGGAGUACACCGGCACACCCGUUGCAGUGUAUGUAAUUGUAUUGUUUCUCCAUAAAUAUCAUUUCUA